Xenopus tropicalis (tropical clawed frog) is the source of this 86-nucleotide non-coding RNA. Lineage: Eukaryota; Metazoa; Chordata; Amphibia; Anura; Pipidae. The record is from Rfam.
CCUUCCAUAGCUCAGCUGGUAGAGCGGAGGACUGUAGGUGUGAUACAGCAAUCCUUAGGUCGCUGGUUCAAUUCCGGCUCGAAGGA